This 466-nucleotide ribosomal RNA is filed under the name uncultured bacterium. RNAcentral describes it as "partial 16S ribosomal RNA". It matches the Rfam family "Bacterial small subunit ribosomal RNA", at positions 28 to 507 of the family's 1533-position model. The record is from RNAcentral.
GAUGAACGCUGGCGGCGUGCUUAACACAUGCAAGUCGAACGGAAAGGCCCAAGCUUGCUUGGGUACUCGAGUGGCGAACGGGUGAGUAACACGUGGGUGAUCUGCCCUGCACUUCGGGAUAAGCCUGGGAAACUGGGUCUAAUACCGGAUAGGACCACAUUUUGGAUGGUGUGGUGGAAAGUUUUUCGGUGUGGGAUGAGCUCGCGGCCUAUCAGCUUGUUGGUGGGGUAAUGGCCUACCAAGGCGUCGACGGGUAGCCGGCCUGAGAGGGUGUACGGCCACAUUGGGACUGAGAUACGGUCCAGACUCCUACGGGAGGCAGCGGUGGGGAAUAUUGCACAAUGGGCGCAAGCCUGAUGCAGCGACGCCGCGUGGGGGAUGACGGCCUUCGGGUUGUAAACUCCUUUCGCUAGGGACGAAGCGUUAUGUGACGGUACCUGGAGAAGAAGCACCGGCUAACUACGUG